GAUCCCAUCAGAACUCCGCAGUGAAGCAUGCUUGGGCGAGAGUAGUACUAGGAUGGGUGAGUUCCUGGGAAGUCCUAGUGUUGCACCCU
This is a non-coding RNA of Arabis alpina (gray rockcress), 89 nucleotides long. The record is from Rfam. Lineage: Eukaryota; Viridiplantae; Streptophyta; Magnoliopsida; Brassicales; Brassicaceae.